ACACACACACAGCCACUGCAAACACACGCAUACCACACCUCUAAUACUACACACACACCCCUCAAAUACCACCUAAAUAUACCUCUCAAACACCACAUACACCCCACACACACCUCAACCACCACACACACACCUCAAACAUUAUAUACCCCUCAAACGCCACACACCUCAAAAGCCAACACACACCCCUCGAACCCCGCACACACCCCUCGAACCCCGCACACACCCCUCGAACCCCGCACACACCCCUCGAACCCCGCACACACCCCUCGAACGCCACACCCCCUUCGAACGCCACACACCCCUCGAACGCCACCCCCCCUCCAACGCCACACGCCCCCCUCCAACGCCACACCACCCCUCCAACGCCACACACCCCUCCAACGCCACACCCCCCUCCAACGCCACGCACCCCCCUCCAACGCCACACCCCCCCCCUCCAACGCCACACGCCCCCCUCCAACGCCACACCACCCCUCCAACGCCACACACCCCUCCAACGCCACACCCCCCUCCAACGCCACGCACCCCCCUCCAACGCCACGCACCCCCCUCCAACGCCACACGCCCCUCCAACGCCACACGCCCCCCUCCAACGCCACACCACCCCUCCAACGCCACACCCCCCUCCAACGCCACGCACCCCCCUCCAACGCCACACCCCCCCUCCAACGCCACGCACCCCCCUCCAACGCCACACGCCCCUCCAACGCCACACGCCCCCCUCCAACGCCACACCCCCCUCCAACGCCACACACCCCCCUCCAACGCCACACGCCCCCCUCCAACGCCACACACACCCCUCGAACGACAGACACCCCCCUCGAACGACACGCCCCCCUCCAACGCCACACACACCCCUCCAACGCCACACACACCCCUCCAAUGCCACACACCCCCCUCCAACGCCACACCCCCCUCCAACGCCACACCCCCCUCCAACGCCACACACCCCCCUCCAACGCCACACGCCCCCCCUCCAACGCCACACACACCCCUCGAACGACAGACACCCCCCUCGAACGACACGCCCCCCUCCAACGCCACACACACCCCUCCAAUGCCACACACACCCCUCCAAUGCCACACACACCCCUCCAAUGCCACACACACCCCUCGAACGACAGACACCCCCCUCGAACGACACGCCCCCCUCCAACGCCACACACACCCCUCCAACGCCACACACACCCCUCCAAUGCCACACACACCCCUCCAACGCCACACCCCCCUCCAACGCCACACGCCCCCCUCCAACGCCACACACACCCCUCGAACGACACGCCCCCCUCCAACGCCACACACACCCCUCCAAUGCCACACACACCCCUCCAAUGCCACACACACCCCUCGAACGACAGACACCCCCCUCGAACGACACGCCCCCCUCCAACGCCACACGCACCCCUCCAACGCCACACACACCCCUCGAACGACACGCCCCCCUCCAACGCCACACACACCCCUCCAAUGCCACACACACCCCUCGAACGACACGCCCCCCUCCAACGCCACACG
This is a long non-coding RNA of Callithrix jacchus (white-tufted-ear marmoset), 1518 nucleotides long. The record is from Ensembl. NCBI's taxonomy places the organism in Eukaryota, Metazoa, Chordata, Mammalia, Primates, Cebidae.